This 1188-nucleotide long non-coding RNA is filed under the name Equus caballus (horse). RNAcentral describes it as "lncRNA (ENSECAG00000049008.1)". The record is from RNAcentral. Lineage: Eukaryota; Metazoa; Chordata; Mammalia; Perissodactyla; Equidae.
GCCCAAAUUAGCUCAUGAGUCAACAUAUCUCAUUUGGUCAUUACAUUUAUUGCAUCAAUUAUCUACAAAUGAAAUACAGCUGCGUUGUCUGUAGCCCCACGUUCAAGCAUCGGCUUAAUGAGCUAGCAAGGUAGGAGAGAUCAGGAGCGCUUGCUGACAACAAAUCGAGAGGAAACCCAAUCCUCGUGCCCGGGACAGACGUUGCACAGCUGACAUUCCUUUCCUUUAUGGGCAGUCCUAGUCAUAUUUUAAGAGACUCUAAUCAGAACAGGAUGAAGGAACCAUAUGCUCCCAGCUUCCCUGAAAGUUUUUUCGGAUUUUUUUUUUCUUUAAGAGCGAUGGAGCUGGAGGCCUGGAUCUAGGCAGAGUCAGAGUUGGGAAUUGUCUCCAUAUUUCUACCAGUUGAAAGGAUCUCCCCCAUUGCCAGUAUAUAUUUUAUAGGCACUGGGUAGCCACCUGUUUUCAAUCGCACCUUCAGAUCAGAGGAGCCCUCUACGAGUGGCCUGCGAGCAUGGGCCUGGCCAAGAGCAAAAGAAACAGUUGCUUGCCCAGGGCUGUCUUUUCUGUUUGCUUUGUAAAUGAUUUCUGAGCCACGUGUGGGAGAAAGGGCUGCCCAGGCUCUCGCUUACAUCAUGAGUGUGGAACUCCAGUCUUGCCAUAGGAAUGCUGUAGAGGCGGACUUUAUUUAAGCUGCUGGUCAGCCAGGGUCUUCCUCAUUGCAAAUGGAUUUGAGCUCGUAAACUAUGAGAGAUUAGUUUUAAGCCCUCGCAGUAGACCUUGCUGAGCAGACUCCAGGUGACAUGAAAGGCAGAGGAGGGGCAGCUGGCCCGGCCCUGCACCCUCCUCCAGAUGUCUGGACUCAGAACCCAGGGUGUAGAGAUGGAUGUCCAGGGCAGCUGGAUCCAGGGCAGGUUCCACCUAACAACAGCCACGUGUAGCAAACACAUCUUCCUCACACACACACACACACACACACAAAUUCACUGGAAAACAAAAACCUUUCAUCUCAAGGUAGAUUGGAUUGUCCUUAAGGAGCCAGGCCACCUCCUCUGGUAGGAUCUGAACUCUCAAGCACACAGUGAGAAACUCUUUAGGCACCAAGUCCCUUUCAGAGAAACCUGUGUUCAAAUCUUACCUUGGCCACUUGCUAGGUCCGUGACCAAGGACAAGCCAAUUUCAGGAUCUCAG